This 466-nucleotide ribosomal RNA is filed under the name uncultured bacterium. Its description in RNAcentral is "partial 16S ribosomal RNA". It matches the Rfam family "Bacterial small subunit ribosomal RNA", at positions 28 to 507 of the family's 1533-position model. The record is from RNAcentral.
GACGAACGCUGGCGGCGUGCUUAACACAUGCAAGUCGAACGGAAAGGCCCAGCUUGCUGGGUACUCGAGUGGCGAACGGGUGAGUAACACGUGGGUGAUCUGCCCCUGACUUUGGGAUAAGCCUGGGAAACUGGGUCUAAUACCGGAUAUGACCUUACAUCGCCUGGUGUUUGGUGGAAAGCUUUUGCGGUUGGGGAUGGGCCCGCGGCCUAUCAGCUUGUUGGUGGGGUAAUGGCCUACCAAGGCGACGACGGGUAGCCGACCUGAGAGGGUGAUCGGCCACACUGGGACUGAGACACGGCCCAGACUCCUACGGGAGGCAGCAGUGGGGAAUAUUGCACAAUGGGCGCAAGCCUGAUGCAGCGACGCCGCGUGAGGGAUGACGGCCUUCGGGUUGUAAACCUCUUUCACCAGGGACGAAGCGUGAGUGACGGUACCUGGAGAAGAAGCACCGGCCAACUACGUG